Molecule: unclassified non-coding RNA, 329 nt
Filed under: soil metagenome
Description: partial contains 5.8S ribosomal RNA, internal transcribed spacer 2, and large subunit ribosomal RNA
Rfam family: 5.8S ribosomal RNA (bases 1-120)
Source: RNAcentral
GAUGAAGAACGUAGCGAAAUGCGAUAAGUAGUGUGAAUUGCAGAAUUCAGUGAAUCAUCGGAUCUUUGAACGCACAUUGCGCCCCUUGGUAUCCCGAGGGGCAUGCCUGUUCGAGCGUCAUUUCACCACUCAAGCCUGGCUUGGUGUUGGGCGACGUCCCCUUUGGGGACGCGCCUCGAAACGCUCGGCGGCGUGGCACCGGCUUUAAGCGUAGCAGAAUCUUUCGCUUUGGAAGUCGGGGCCCCGUCUGCCGGAAGACCUACUCGCAAGGUUGACCUCGGAUCAGGCAGGGAUACCCGCUGAACUUAAGCAUAUCAAUAAGCGGAGGA